UGGGGCCCAGAUCGUUUACCGUGAAAAAAUUAGAGUGUUCAAAGCAGGCAGAUCCAAUUUUCUGCCACCGAAUACAUUAGCAUGGGAUAAUGGAAUAGGACCCUGUCCUCCUAUUUUCAGUUGGUUUUGGCAGCGCGAGGACUAGGGUAAUGAUUAAUAGGGAUAGUUGGGGGCAUUAAUAUUUAAUUGUCAGAGGUGAAAUUCUUGGAUUUAUGAAAGAUUAACUUCUGCGAAAGCAUCUGCCAAGGAUGUUUUCAUUAAUCAAGAACGAAAGUUAGGGGAUCGAAGACGAUCAGAUACCGUCGUAGUCUUAACCAUAAACGAUGCCGACCAGCGAUUAGGAGACGUUGAAUACAAAACACCACCAUCGGUGCGGUCGUCCUUGGCGUCGGUCUUUCGGGGCCGGCGCGGGGGCGGCUUAGCCCGGUGGCACCGGUGAAUGACUCCCCUAGCAGCUUGUGAGAA
Molecule: ribosomal RNA, 465 nt
Filed under: Acanthamoeba genotype T4
Lineage: Eukaryota; Discosea; Longamoebia; Acanthamoebidae
Description: SSU rRNA
Rfam family: Eukaryotic small subunit ribosomal RNA
Source: RNAcentral